Molecule: ribosomal RNA, 420 nt
Filed under: Fusobacteriota bacterium
Lineage: Bacteria; Fusobacteriati; Fusobacteriota
Description: Fusobacteria bacterium partial 16S ribosomal RNA
Rfam family: Bacterial small subunit ribosomal RNA
Source: RNAcentral
UGGGGGAUAUUGCACAAUGGGCGAAAGCCUGAUGCAGCGACGCCGCGUGGGGGAUGAAGGCCUUCGGGUUGUAAACUUCUUUUGCUCUGAACAAGGCAUGCUUUUGGGGUGUGUUGAGUGUAGGGGUUGAUUAGCGCCGGCUAAAUACGUGCCAGCAGCCGCGGUAAUACGUAGGGCGCGAGCGUUGUCCGGAAUUAUUGGGCGUAAAGGGCUUGUAGGUGGCUGGUUGCGUCUGUCGUGAAAGCUCAUGGCUUAACUGUGGGUUUGCGGUGGGUACGGGCUGGCUUGAGUGCAGUAGGGGAGGCUGGAAUUCCUGGUGUAGCGGUGGAAUGCGCAGAUAUCAGGAGGAAUACCGGUGGCGAAGGCGGGUCUCUGGGCUGUUACUGACGCUGAGGAGCGAAAGCGUGGGGAGCGAACAGG